GAUGAACGCUAGCGACAGGCUUAACACAUGCAAGUCGAGGGGAAACGAUAGAGAAAGCUUGCUUUUUCUAGGCGUCGACCGGCGCACGGGUGAGUAACGCGUAUCCAACCUGCCCACCACUUGGGGAUAACCUUGCGAAAGUAAGACUAAUACCCAAUGAUAUCCCACGAAGGCAUCCGAAUGGGAUUAAAGAUUUAUCGGUGAUGGAUGGGGAUGCGUCUGAUUAGCAUGUUGGCGGGGUAACGGCCCACCAAGGCAACGAUCAGUAGGGGUUCUGAGAGGAAGGUCCCCCCACAUUGGAACUGAGACACGGUCCAAAACUCCUACGGGAGGCAGCAGUGAGGAAUAUUGGGUCAAUGGGCGAGAGCCUGAACCAGCCAAGUAGCGUGAGGGAUGACUGCCCUAUGGGUUGUAAACUGCUUUUAUAAGGGAAUAAAGUGAGUCUCGUGAGGCUUUUUGCAUGUACCUUAUGAAUAAGGACCGGCUAAUUCCGUG
This 495-nucleotide ribosomal RNA is filed under the name uncultured bacterium. Its description in RNAcentral is "bacterial SSU rRNA". It matches the Rfam family "Bacterial small subunit ribosomal RNA", at positions 28 to 507 of the family's 1533-position model. The record is from RNAcentral.